GACGAACGCUGGCGGCGUGCUUAACACAUGCAAGUCGAGCGGUAAGGCCCUUUCGGGGGUACACGAGCGGCGAACGGGUGAGUAACACGUGGGUGACCUGCCUCUAGCUCUGGGAUAAGCCCGGGAAACUGGGUCUAAUACUGGAUAUGACUCCAUGACGCAUGUUGUGGGGUGGAAAGCCUUGUGCGGCUAGAGAUGGGCCCGCGGCCUAUCAGCUUGUUGGUGGGGUNAUGGCCUACCAAGGCGACGACGGGUAGCCGGCCUGAGAGGGCGACCGGCCACACUGGGACUGAGACACGGCCCAGACUCCUACGGGAGGCAGCAGUGGGGAAUCUUGCGCAAUGGGCGAAAGCCUGACGCAGCGACGCCGCGUGAGGGAUGACGG
This 385-nucleotide ribosomal RNA is filed under the name uncultured bacterium. RNAcentral's name for it is "bacterial SSU rRNA". It matches the Rfam family "Bacterial small subunit ribosomal RNA", at positions 28 to 414 of the family's 1533-position model. The record is from RNAcentral.